AGCAGCCGCGGUAAUUCCAGCUCCAAUAGCGUAUAUUAAAGUUGUUGCAGUUAAAAAGCUCGUAGUUGAAUUUCGGGGUUAGCAGGUCGGUCGUGCCAUCGGUAUGAACUGGUCUCGCUGAUCCCUCCCUCUUGACGAACUGUGAUGCCAUUAAUUUGGUGUCGCAGGGAAUCAGGACUGUUACUUUGAAAAAUUAGAGUGUUUAAAGCAGGCUCACGCUUGAAUACAUUAGCAUGGAAUAAUGAAAUAGGACGUUUGAUUCUAUUUUGUUGGUUUCUAGGAUCGACGUAAUGAUUAAUAGGGAUAGUUGGGGGCAUUAGUAUUCAAUUGUCAGAGGUGAAAUUCUUGGAUUUAUUGAAGACUAACUACUGCGAAAGCAUUUGCCAAGGAUGUUUUCAUUAAUCAAGAACGAAAGUUAGGGGAUCGAAGACGAUCAGAUACCGUCGUAGUCUUAACCAUAAACUAUGCCGACUAGGGAUCGGAUGAUGUUAAUUUUUAAUGACUCAUUC
RNAcentral lists this unclassified non-coding RNA (509 nucleotides) under uncultured Glomus. RNAcentral describes it as "SSU rRNA". It matches the Rfam family "Eukaryotic small subunit ribosomal RNA", at positions 569 to 1081 of the family's 1831-position model. Lineage: Eukaryota; Fungi; Glomeromycota; Glomeromycetes; Glomerales; Glomeraceae. The record is from RNAcentral.